CUUUUUCAUCUCGAAUGUCUGAACGGCCAAGUUGAAUCAGCACAAGCAAAAGUAACAGAGCAAAAAUCGCACGUCUUUUCAUUUUCACGUCCAUGAAGCAUGUGUCUAUCAACAAUGAAACUGACUAAUAUUGUUUCCGGUUUUAUAUACAGGUGUAUUGUUAUCAGGGAAUGAGCCACUUUAACAGUCGACAACCACAAAGUUGUUUGCUUAUUCGAAAGACAAUAGUUGAUUUAUUUGAAAGAUUGGUCUUUGAUACUAGUGCAAUCCAGCGGGGAUCUGCU
Non-coding RNA from Paramuricea clavata, 284 nucleotides. The record is from the annotation of a GenBank genome assembly. NCBI's taxonomy places the organism in Eukaryota, Metazoa, Cnidaria, Anthozoa, Malacalcyonacea, Plexauridae.